RNAcentral lists this transfer RNA (77 nucleotides) under Formosa sp. RNAcentral describes it as "tRNA-Ala". It matches the Rfam family "tRNA". Rfam says of the family: Transfer RNA (tRNA) molecules are approximately 80 nucleotides in length. Their secondary structure includes four short double-helical elements and three loops (D, anti-codon, and T loops). Further hydrogen bonds mediate the characteristic L-shaped molecular structure. tRNAs have two regions of fundamental functional importance: the anti-codon, which is responsible for specific mRNA codon recognition, and the 3' end, to which the tRNAs corresponding amino acid is attached (by aminoacyl-tRNA synthetases). tRNAs cope with the degeneracy of the genetic code in two manners: having more than one tRNA (with a specific anti-codon) for a particular amino acid; and 'wobble' base-pairing, i.e. permitting non-standard base-pairing at the 3rd anti-codon position. The record is from RNAcentral. Lineage: Bacteria; Pseudomonadati; Bacteroidota; Flavobacteriia; Flavobacteriales; Flavobacteriaceae.
GGGGAUGUAGCUCAGUUGGCUAGAGCGCUUGACUGGCAGUCAAGAGGUCGUCGGUUCGAAUCCGAUCUUCUCCACNA